RNAcentral lists this unclassified non-coding RNA (1392 nucleotides) under Hevea brasiliensis (rubber tree). The record is from RNAcentral. Lineage: Eukaryota; Viridiplantae; Streptophyta; Magnoliopsida; Malpighiales; Euphorbiaceae.
GGUAAGGCUGUGUACAUCAACCCUUCCAAAACCGAUGAGAUGUUUCGUACACUGAGUCACACUUUUAUCAUUUUUUGUCAAUGCCCGUGACAAGAAAAUAUUCUUGGCCUCUUUGUGGAACUCUGCAUUUGGUCUUGUAGAGGAUUUUCUUUAGCAGAUAUCUAGAGAGAUGGAAGAGCCAGAUAUAAUAACAUCAAACCACCUGAAGAAGAGGGGAAAAAAAAUCUAGUUCUUACCACCCGAAGAAGUGAAACCCAAAAUUCCGGUGGAGAUGAAGGUGCACCAUAAGGAUUAUUAGGAUCUUGAGCUCCGUAUGGACCCAUCCUGCCCAUUCCAUAGCUGCCCAUUGGACCUCCAAAACCAACAUUAUGCAUUCCACCACCAUACACCCAGACCCAUAAAGUCUCCCAUAGCCUCCUCCAUACAUGCUAUUACCAUACAUCCCUCCACCAUACAUUCCUUUACCAUACAUCCCUCCACCAUACAUUCCUCCAAGCCCACCAUGCAUAUGAAACAUACAUACCCAAACCAUAGCCAGAGUGAUAGUUAAGACUGGAAUUAUAACUUGGAUUACAUUAACAAGAGUUUUGAAGAAAAGGGUAAAUAGCUCCAUAAAACAAGUAAGCAUAUUUGCUAGUAAAGAUUCAUUUACCUCCAUAGUUGCUGGUGCCAUAGUUAUGCUGCCAUGGACUUGGAGGAGCAGGCCUUCCAAGGGCAUUUCUGUUGACUGAGGCAUUCCUGUGUAAACUUGGAACAAUUUCUCCAGGUUUUGCAGUUCCUGAAGCCUCCACUACAUCAAUUGUGCUGCCAGAUGAUGGAGGUUUAAAAGGUGUAGAACCAGAAGGACCACAGGCUCGUUCCUAAGGUUUUGGAGGAGGAUUAUUAGCUGCAGUGUUCAAACAUUAUUAUGUACAAUAACUAACAGGAAACGUCACAAAGCAAUAAAUAAAUAAUAAACAGAAUGAGAAAGGAGGAGGAAAAUGUAGAUAGAUGCAAUGACAGAGACAUUUUUUAUAUAAUUAAUAAAGAAAAUAGGUCUUCUCAGUUGGCAGGUCUAUUUAGGUAAAGGAAAUACCUUUAACAAAAUCAUCAGAAGUCUGCAAAAUAGAUCACAAGAAUCUGAGAUUUGAAAAUACCCAAAAAAGAAAAUCCAAAUUAAAUAAAAAAAAUAUAUAAAUCAAUUUGAACGAAUAAAAAAAAAAGGCUCCUUGACAUAUUCUUCAAAAAAGAAGAAGAAAAGACUUCCGUACGAAUACAUCAUAAAUCUCAAGCAUAUUAUUCUAGCAAGACUUCCACAAGAUGAAAUAUGAAAUGCUAUUGAUUCUAAGAACUGCAAACCAUCAUUCCAUAUGACAAAUAAUCAAAUGAAAUAAAAAUUAGAAACAAUUUAAA